RNAcentral lists this ribosomal RNA (557 nucleotides) under Bacillus sp. RZ2MS18. RNAcentral's name for it is "bacterial SSU rRNA". It matches the Rfam family "Bacterial small subunit ribosomal RNA", at positions 57 to 596 of the family's 1533-position model. Lineage: Bacteria; Bacillati; Bacillota; Bacilli; Caryophanales; Bacillaceae. The record is from RNAcentral.
GCAGUCGAGCGAUGGAUUAAGAGCUUGCUCUUAUGAAGUUAGCGGCGGACGGGUGAGUAACACGUGGGUAACCUGCCCAUAAGACUGGGAUAACUCCGGGAAACCGGGGCUAAUACCGGAUAAYAUUUUGAACYGCAUGGUUCGAAAUUGAAAGGCGGCUUCGGCUGUCACUUAUGGAUGGACCCGCGUCGCAUUAGCUAGUUGGUGAGGUAACGGCUCACCAAGGCAACGAUGCGUAGCCGACCUGAGAGGGUGAUCGGCCACACUGGGACUGAGACACGGCCCAGACUCCUACGGGAGGCAGCAGUAGGGAAUCUUCCGCAAUGGACGAAAGUCUGACGGAGCAACGCCGCGUGAGUGAUGAAGGCUUUCGGGUCGUAAAACUCUGUUGUUAGGGAAGAACAAGUGCUAGUUGAAUWWKYUGGCACCUUGACGGUACCUAACCAGAAAGCCACGGCUAACUACGUGCCAGCAGCCGCGGUAAUACGUAGGUGGCAAGCGUUAUCCGGAAUUAUUGGGCGUAAAGCGCGCGCAGGUGGUUUCUUAAGUCUGAUGUG